RNAcentral lists this ribosomal RNA (253 nucleotides) under uncultured bacterium. RNAcentral's name for it is "partial 16S ribosomal RNA". It matches the Rfam family "Bacterial small subunit ribosomal RNA", at positions 524 to 776 of the family's 1533-position model. The record is from RNAcentral.
UACGUAGGGGGCAAGCGUUGUCCGGAAUCAUUGGGCGUAAAGAGCGUGUAGGCGGUUCGGUAAGUCGGCUGUGAAAGUCCAGGGCUCAACCCUGGGAUGCCGGUCGAUACUGCCGGACUAGAGUUCGGAAGAGGCGAGUGGAAUUCCCGGUGUAGCGGUGAAAUGCGCAGAUAUCAGGAAGAACACCCGUGGCGAAAGCGGCUCUCUGGAACGGUACUGACGCUGAGACGCGAAAGCGUGGGGAGCGAACAGG